UUUACCUUUAAAUUAACCCCGUGAGGUUAAUAAGGUCGAAAUAACUGUAUAAAGCGGAUAUUCUAUAUGCAGUAAUAUCUGAAAAGUUAUACAAUGCUUAGUUAAUCAACCUUCUUUAUCCUCAGGGUAAAGAAGGUUUUUUU
Regulatory RNA element from Caminicella sporogenes DSM 14501, 143 nucleotides. It matches the Rfam family "PyrR binding site". From Rfam's summary of the family: This family represents the PyrR binding site and terminator structure. This RNA structure is found upstream of a variety of genes involved in pyrimidine biosynthesis and transport. The alignment also includes a portion of the antiterminator structure. Lineage: Bacteria; Bacillati; Bacillota; Clostridia; Peptostreptococcales; Caminicellaceae. The record is from Rfam.